RNAcentral lists this ribosomal RNA (626 nucleotides) under uncultured bacterium. RNAcentral describes it as "bacterial SSU rRNA". It matches the Rfam family "Bacterial small subunit ribosomal RNA", at positions 47 to 662 of the family's 1533-position model. The record is from RNAcentral.
CCUAACACAUGCAAGUCGAACGGUAACAGGAAGCAGCUUGCUGUUUCGCUGACGAGUGGCGGACGGGUGAGUAAUGUCUGGGAAACUGCCUGAUGGAGGGGGAUAACUACUGGAAACGGUAGCUAAUACCGCAUAACGUCGCAAGACCAAAGAGGGGGACCCUCGGGCCUCUUGCCAUCGGAUGUGCCCAGAUGGGAUUAGCUUGUUGGUGGGGUAACGGCUCACCAAGGCGACGAUCCCUAGCUGGUCUGAGAGGAUGACCAGCCACACUGGAACUGAGACACGGUCCAGACUCCUACGGGAGGCAGCAGUGGGGAAUAUUGCACAAUGGGCGCAAGCCUGAUGCAGCCAUGCCGCGUGUAUGAAGAAGGCCUUCGGGUUGUAAAGUACUUUCAGCGGGGAGGAAGGGAGUAAAGUUAAUACCUUUGCUCAUUGACGUUACCCGCAGAAGAAGCACCGGCUAACUCCGUGCCAGCAGCCGCGGUAAUACGGAGGGUGCAAGCGUUAAUCGGAAUUACUGGGCGUAAAGCGCACGCAGGCGGUUUGUUAAGUCAGAUGUGAAAUCCCCAGGCUCAACCUGGGAACUGCAUCUGAUACUGGCAAGCUUGAGUCUCGUAGAGGGGGGU